This 72-nucleotide transfer RNA is filed under the name Bos taurus (domestic cattle). It matches the Rfam family "tRNA". From Rfam's summary of the family: Transfer RNA (tRNA) molecules are approximately 80 nucleotides in length. Their secondary structure includes four short double-helical elements and three loops (D, anti-codon, and T loops). Lineage: Eukaryota; Metazoa; Chordata; Mammalia; Artiodactyla; Bovidae. The record is from Rfam by way of RNAcentral. RNAcentral also lists the same sequence under 5 other names.
UCCCUAGUGGCUCAGAUGGUAAAGAAUCCACCUGCAAUGUGGGAGACCUGGAUUCGAUCCCUGGUUUGGGAA